UGCUAUUUCACUGAUUUGAAGGUUCAGAAGAAAAAGUCUGCAUCCAGGGGCCGGCCCGGUGGUGCAGCGAAGUUUGCACGUUCUGCUUCAGCGGCCCGAGGAUUGCCAGUUCGGAUCCCGGUUGUGGACGUGGCACCACUUGGCAAGCCAUGCUGUGAGGGAUGCUGGCUGAGCAAUGGAAACAACAGGUCCUUCUGUGCAGCUCUGAAGCAGAAUCUGGAGAGGUCCUUGGAGAAUCUGCCAUGAAGCCUUGAGAGCUUGAGAACGUGAUGUGAAGGUAGAGUCUGGUUCCUGCAUUGGCCCAGAGAAACAGGAAGCCAGGAAGCUAGCGGGAACUCCCUGGGAUGAGUUACAUCCGCCGAAACAAGAGCAGAG
Molecule: long non-coding RNA, 375 nt
Filed under: Equus caballus (horse)
Lineage: Eukaryota; Metazoa; Chordata; Mammalia; Perissodactyla; Equidae
Description: lncRNA (ENSECAG00000041329.2)
Source: RNAcentral